CCCCCCCCCCGCAGCAGUGGGGAAUAUUGGACAAUGGGGGGAACCCUGAUCCAGCCAUGCCGCGUGUGUGAAGAAGGCCCUCGGGUUGUAAAGCACUUUCAGUGAGGAAGAACGCCUGGUGGUUAAUACCCAUCAGGAAAGACAUCACUCACAGAAGAAGCACCGGCUAACUCCGUGCCAGCAGCCGCGGUAAUACGGAGGGUGCGAGCGUUAAUCGGAAUUACUGGGCGUAAAGCGCGCGUAGGUGGCUUGAUAAGCCGGUUGUGAAAGCCCCGGGCUCAACCUGGGAACGGCAUCCGGAACUGUCAAGCUAGAGUGCAGGAGAGGAAGGUAGAAUUCCCGGUGUAGCGGUGAAAUGCGUAGAGAUCGGGAGGAAUACCAGUGGCGAAGGCGGCCUUCUGGACUGACACUGACACUGAGGUGCGAAAGCGUGGGUAGCAAACAGGAUUAGAUACCCCAGUAGUC
This 465-nucleotide ribosomal RNA is filed under the name Vreelandella stevensii. Its description in RNAcentral is "partial 16S ribosomal RNA". It matches the Rfam family "Bacterial small subunit ribosomal RNA", at positions 330 to 795 of the family's 1533-position model. Lineage: Bacteria; Pseudomonadati; Pseudomonadota; Gammaproteobacteria; Oceanospirillales; Halomonadaceae. The record is from RNAcentral.